UUAAAUUUCUUCAGACUGACAGGAAAGAGAUUUUCACUGGCUCAGCCACAUCCCUGAUCUAUACAGGGCUGUCCCUCGGUGGAAGCAGCUCCCGCUUUGACAUAUCGUGACUGAUGGAUGGGCAGUGCUACGUCUCCAGGCUCAGGCUCACACAACUGUGUCUCAUUAUCACUGCAGUAUUUAACUCCAGCUCACCUCUCCAUUCAUCGCCAGAUCAUUGACCGACUCAGUGUGGAAGAUUUGCUCAGGCCAUUAAAUAUCUUGCUUACCUGUUGCUAACCCUUGAAUUUGUAUUUCUCUGCCACAUUCGCUACCCACCUACUUUAAGUAACCUAUCAGCAA
This is a long non-coding RNA of Oreochromis aureus, 342 nucleotides long. NCBI's taxonomy places the organism in Eukaryota, Metazoa, Chordata, Actinopteri, Cichliformes, Cichlidae. The record is from Ensembl.